GACGAACGCUGGCGGCGCGCCUAACACAUGCAAGUCGAGCGAGAACCAGGACUUCGGUCCUGGGGACAGCGGCGAACGGGUGAGUAACACGUGGAUAACCUGCCCUCGGCACCGGAAUAGCCCGGGGAAACUCGGAUUAAUGCCGGAUAGCCCCACAGUCCUGCGGGACGGUGGGAAAAGGUAGCUUCGGCCUCUGGCCGAGGAUGGGUCCGCGGCGGAUUAGCUAGUUGGUGGGGUAACGGCCCACCAAGGCGACGAUCCGUAGCUGGUCUGAGAGGACGAACAGCCACACUGGGACUGAGACACGGCCCAGACUCCUACGGGAGGCAGCAGUGGGGAAUAUUGCGCUAAUGCGGGAAACCGUGACGCAGCGACGCCGCGUGAGGGAAGAAGGCCUUCGGGUUGUAAACCUCUUUCAGGAGGGAAGAAGCUACUCGGGUGAAUAGCCCAGAGGGUGACGGUACCUCCAGAAGAAGCCCCGGCUAACUACGUGCCAGCCGCCGCCGUAAGAC
Molecule: ribosomal RNA, 512 nt
Filed under: uncultured bacterium
Lineage: Bacteria
Description: bacterial SSU rRNA
Rfam family: Bacterial small subunit ribosomal RNA
Source: RNAcentral